GAUGAACGCUGACAGAAUGCUUAACACAUGCAAGUCUACUUGAACUUCGGUUUGGGUGGCGGACGGGUGAGUAACGCGUAAAGAACUUGCCUCACAGAUAGGGACAACAUUUGGAAACGAAUGCUAAUACCUGAUAUUAUGAUUUUAGGGCAUCCUAGAAUUAUGAAAGCUAUAAGCACUGUGAGAGAGCUUUGCGUCCCAUUAGCUAGUUGGAGAGGUAACAGCUCACCAAGGCGAUGAUGGGUAGCCGGCCUGAGAGGGUGAACGGCCACAAGGGGACUGAGACACGGCCCUUACUCCUACGGGAGGCAGCAGUGGGGAAUAUUGGACAAUGGACCGAGAGUCUGAUCCAGCAAUUCUGUGUGCACGAUGAAGUUUUUCGGAAUGUAAAGUGCUUUCAGUUGGGAAGAAAGAAAUGACGGUACCAACAGAAGAAGUGACGGCUAAAUACGUGCCAGCAGCCGCGGUAAUACGUAUGUCACAAGCGUUAUCCGGAUUUAUUGGGCGUAAAGCGCGUCUAGGUGGUUAUGUAAGUCUGAUGUGAAAAUGCAGGGCUCAACUCUGUAUUGCGUUGGAAACUGUAUAACUAGAGUACUGGAGAGGUAAGCGGAACUACAAGUGUAGAGGUGAAAUUCGUAGAUAUUUGUAGGAAUGCCGAUGAGGAAGCCAGCUUACUGGACAGAUACUGACGCUAAAGCGCGAAAGCGUGGGUAGCAAACAGG
RNAcentral lists this ribosomal RNA (722 nucleotides) under uncultured Fusobacterium sp. RNAcentral's name for it is "bacterial SSU rRNA". It matches the Rfam family "Bacterial small subunit ribosomal RNA", at positions 28 to 776 of the family's 1533-position model. The record is from RNAcentral. Lineage: Bacteria; Fusobacteriati; Fusobacteriota; Fusobacteriia; Fusobacteriales; Fusobacteriaceae.